Mauremys reevesii (Reeves's turtle) is the source of this 688-nucleotide long non-coding RNA. RefSeq lists it as uncharacterized. The transcript has 2 exons. The record is from RefSeq and is a predicted model, not a curated record. NCBI's taxonomy places the organism in Eukaryota, Metazoa, Chordata, Testudines, Geoemydidae.
ACAAUCCUCUCUAUUCCUAGGCAAUUAGUCUCAGGUGUUUGGAGAGAGCAGGCACAAGAGAGAAUGUGAGCUUAUUUAUAGAAGAAACUUCUUACCAGUUACACAGCUGGAAGGAGGAAGCAUUCUCCAAGUUCUGAGCUGUAGUAAUUCAGAGGAUAUCCUUGUCUCUCCCCACCUUCCUAUAAAUAAAUUGGAGGACUUCUCUAAAAGUCUGUCUCUAAAAACCAAUGUGUACAACUCCAAAGCUUGUUCAUUAGAUGAUCAUUAUAAGCUACAUGUUUUCCUGUUGAUGUAUGUAUAACUGCCAAUAAUGAUAAAAAGAGGUGCAUACACCCAGAUCUAUUGUGAAAUCUCUGACUUAGUUAUAAGGAUCCAUAAAUAAAUGUAUAUCCCUCAUUAUCUAUUUCCACCAAGUUUGUUGUAUAACUCAAUUUGCAUGGAAUUACUCCUGAUUCACACCAGUGUGAACAAGAAGAAACUUUGGCUCCCAGUCUUUAGGAUUACAAGACUACUUAUUGGCCUAGUCCUGUAUUUUGUAGAACUGUUUUCUAUCUUCCUCUAACUGUAUAUAUCUUUUGGGAUGUACCAUCUCAGUUUAAUAUCACCUCCAAUUUGCUAUUGAUAUGUUAGUAUCAUUUUAGGUAGGUCCUAUUGCUAUAAUACUUUCCAUUAAAGCACAAUGAGCUUC